CCUACGGGAGGCAGCAGUGAGGAAUAUUGGUCAAUGGGCGGGAGCCUGAACCAGCCAAGUCGCGUGAGGGAAGACGGUCCUAUGGAUUGUAAACCUCUUUAGGCGGGGAGCAAUGCCGGGCACGUGUGCCCGGAGGGAGAGUACCCGCAGAAUAAGCAUCGGCUAACUCCGUGCCAGCAGCCGCGGUAAUACGGAGGAUGCGAGCGUUAUCCGGAUUUAGUGGGGUUAAAGGGUGCGUAGGCGGAUUUUUAAGUCAGCGGUAAAAUGUCCGGGCUCAAUCCGGGCCGGCCGUUGAAACUGGGGAUCUUGAGUGGGCGAGAAGUAUGCGGAAUGCGUGGUGUAGCGGUGAAAUGCAUAGAUAUCACGCAGAACUCCGAUUGCGAAGGCAGCAUACCGGCGCCCGACUGACGCUGAGGCACGAAAGCGUGGGGAUCGAACAGGAUUAGAUACCCGUGUAGUC
Molecule: ribosomal RNA, 460 nt
Filed under: uncultured bacterium
Lineage: Bacteria
Description: partial 16S ribosomal RNA
Rfam family: Bacterial small subunit ribosomal RNA
Source: RNAcentral